Molecule: unclassified non-coding RNA, 307 nt
Filed under: uncultured soil eukaryote
Lineage: Eukaryota
Description: sequence contains 5.8S rRNA gene, ITS2, 28S rRNA gene
Source: RNAcentral
AACGCAAGUUGCGCCCGAAGCCUUGGCUGAGGGCACGUCUGCCUGGGUGUCACACAUCGUGCUGCCUCCAAACCCUCCGCCCCUCGAUCGCUGUUGCGGCGACGGUUUGGAUGCGGAAGCUGGCCUCCCGCGGCCACGAGCCACGGAUGGCCCAAACGCGUGCUGGGGAAGCGGAGCGCUACGGCAUUCGGUGGUUUAUCCAAGCACCGGAAGCAGUGCCGGCGGCGGCCGCACGUGUCCCCGGCCCACGGCCCUAAACGCUAACCGACGCGACCUCAGGUCAGGCGGGGCUACCCGCUGAGUUUAA